This is a non-coding RNA of Chelonoidis abingdonii (Abingdon island giant tortoise), 2102 nucleotides long. Lineage: Eukaryota; Metazoa; Chordata; Testudines; Testudinidae. The record is from RefSeq and is a predicted model, not a curated record.
ACAGACUUGUUCCAUUAAAUCAGAAUUCAUUAUAAAUGGCUUCAUUAUAAAACAUUAUCAGUCUCAGUCCUUGUUGUGGCCUAUAUGUCUGUGCUAUUGACUUUUCCUUUUUUUAAACAAAUAGUUGUAAAACUUAGGGAAACUCAUUUAAACCCAGCCUGUGGUACAACUGUCAAGCCUCCCUUGUGAAGUCACUUAUCAGAUGUUACGUAGUAAGAGGCAGUUGUCUGCAGACUGAAAUUAGAACUUAGACAGCAUUCCACCCUGUGAUUCUGUUUCCUUCAUUGUGUAAAGUUUUUUUUUAAGUUUUAGACUUUGGGAUAGCACCCCAAGAACCAUUUUUUAUUGGUUCCCAAGAAACAGUCAUAUUGGGGCUACCUUUAAAAAUGAACCAUUAAAAUAAAGAAGUAAUUAAUAUCAAUUCAGUAUCUCUAGAUCUUUGAAUGUACAGUUUCUAAGGGGUUUUCACUCAGAACAGCUGUAGCAUAGUCCGACAUCUGGUUUCAAAUGUUUCUAUUUUGUCUCUAGACAUGGCAGUUGUUCUGGUGUCUUGGGAGAAGAGCCAGUUCUAUGAAAACAUUACCCAAUCGUUGAGUCACAGAGCAUGAAUACUUUGAGGUGGUAGGACCAGACACUGGCCACUACUAUAAACACACCUCCCACCUCCCCAUAGCCACUGCAGAGUACCAUGAUUCUCUAAUAUGCAUCAGACGAAGUGGGAAAGAAGGAAUCUGGAGCAAUGGUGUCUUGAAACUGUCAGAUUCAGUUAGAAUUUUAACAGAAAUAUACUGUGCUACUGCCAUAGUAGAGAAAAGACCUUUCUCUUGCGCAGCCCCAUGCUCAGGGUGUCGCUAAACCUUCAAUUCCCAGAAGUUGGGGCUGGAUGAUGAGGAUGGAUCAUUCAAAAUUUCCGUUUUGUUCAUCCCCUCUGAAGCGUCUGGCACACUGUCAGAAGACAAGAUGCUGAGCUAGAUGGACCAUGUUGGUCUGACCCAGUAUUACCAUUAUUAUGUUCUGAUUCCAUUGCAGCAGCUAAAUUCCAUCUUGCAGCAUUUUUCCAAAUAGCAAAUCACUUUCAGUCCUAGCUGCCUCACAGCUGAAUGACUACUUGCAGAGGAUUACUUUCAUACAGUCUUUAACACCACCACUGAAUUCAAGACAGAAAACACACUACAGUAUUUGGCACAUCACUGGGGCAGGACACUCUAAAAUGCACUGAAAGUUAAGUAACCAUCUAUGAUUCAGUUCCAUGCCUAUUGUAUCCAGUGAAAUGUGGCCAUGAGUAUCUAGAGUAGGACUUCUGACAGAUUGUCAAUACCAUUUUUGUAAAGGAAAACCUGCCAUAGUUUGGCCAAUUCAAGAAACCAUCUUUGGCCCCAUCAGCCCUUGCAGUCUAUGGUCUAAUGUAAAAUCUCCCGUUUUUAGGGAAGAUAAUCCUAGCUGCUUCCUAAUACAACCAGUAUUUUAGUCUUUUUACCGUUGGAGUUCUGGCCAGGCCAUGGGACAGACAGUGGAUGGCCACCUCCUGCCCCUGGAUAAGGGAAGGACAUCCAUAUUCGUCCUCUGGGACCUGUCUGCAAUAUUUCAUUCUGAGACCAUGGCAUGUUACUGUCUUCUCUGAGAUGCAGCACUUGUUGGCAGGUGAGUUCUGAAAUGGGCCCAGUCUUUAUUUUCUGGAUGCUUACAGAAACUGGACAGCUACUUCUCUGUCUCCGGAGCGCUCACCUGUGGAGUCAAACAAGGAUGAUUUUUCCCCAUUCUUUUUAAUAUGCACAUGAAUAUGUUGUAUGAAAUUCUAAGAUGCUCUGGUCUCAUUACAAGCAUGAUGCAGAUGAUACCCGGCUGUAUAUCAUUUUUACUUCCAAUGCAAAAAUCGCCCAGACCCAACUAAUAUCGCUGCCUGGUCAAGGUACACAUUUGGAUGAAAAGCAUAUAGCAGAAGCUGAACCGUACUUUGAAGACAUAGCAAUUACCUCAAACAAAUCAGGUGCUGCAUGCUGAAAACUUGAUUAUUUAAGAGAAAAUAAAUUACUUGAAACAUUUGUAGAGAAGUAAUGCCAUAAUACCUAACCUCCAGGCAGCUAGGAGGGACAGCGCAGAUU